RNAcentral lists this ribosomal RNA (301 nucleotides) under uncultured bacterium. Its description in RNAcentral is "partial 16S ribosomal RNA". It matches the Rfam family "Bacterial small subunit ribosomal RNA", at positions 509 to 807 of the family's 1533-position model. The record is from RNAcentral.
CAGCCGCCACGGGAAUACGGAGGGUGCAAGCGUUAAUCGGAAUUACUGGGCGUAAAGCGCACGCAGGCGGUCUGACAAGUCAGAUGUGAAAUCCCCGGGCUUAACCUGGGAACUGCAUUUGAAACUGUCAGGCUGGAGUCUUGUAGAGGGGGGUAGAAUUCCAGGUGUAGCGGUGAAAUGCGUAGAGAUCUGGAGGAAUACCGGUGGCGAAGGCGGCCCCCUGGACAAAGACUGACGCUCAGGUGCGAAAGCGUGGGGAGCAAACAGGAUUAGAUACCCGCGUAGUCCCUGUCUCUUAUAC